RNAcentral lists this ribosomal RNA (442 nucleotides) under uncultured bacterium. RNAcentral's name for it is "partial 16S ribosomal RNA". It matches the Rfam family "Bacterial small subunit ribosomal RNA", at positions 338 to 795 of the family's 1533-position model. The record is from RNAcentral.
CCUACGGGAGGCAGCAGUGGGGAAUAUUGGGCAAUGGGCGCAAGCCUGACCCAGCAACGCCGCGUGAAGGAAGAAGGCUUUCGGGGUGUAAACCUCUUUUGACAGGGAAGAGUAGAAGACGGUACCUGUCGAAUAAGCCACGGUUAAUUACGUGCCAGCAGCAACGGUAAUAGGUAGGUGGCAAGCGUUGCCCGGAUUUACGGGGUGUAAAGGGCGUGUAGCCGGGUUGACAAGUCAGAUGUGAAAGCCUGCGGCUUAACCGCAGAACUGCAUUUGAAACUGUUGAUCUUGAGUACUGGAGAGGCAGACGGAAUUCCUAGUGUAGCGGUGAAAUGCGUAGAUAUUAGGAGGAACACCAGUGGCGAAGGCGGCUUUCUGGACUGAAACUGACGCUGAGGCACGAAAGCGUGGGGAGCAAACAGGAUUAGAUACCCCGGUAGUC